This 486-nucleotide ribosomal RNA is filed under the name uncultured bacterium. RNAcentral describes it as "partial 16S ribosomal RNA". It matches the Rfam family "Bacterial small subunit ribosomal RNA", at positions 30 to 507 of the family's 1533-position model. The record is from RNAcentral.
AUUGAACGCUGGCGGCAUGCCUUACACAUGCCAGUCGAACGGCAGCACGGGUGCUUGCCCCUGGUGGCGAGUGGCGAACGGGUGAGUAUUACAUCGGAACAUGUCCUGUAGUGGGGGAUAGCCCGGCGAAAGCCGGAUUAAUACCGCCUACGAUCUACGGAUGACAGCGGGGGACCUUCGGGCCUCGCGCUAUACGGUUGGCCGAUGGCUGAUUAGCUAGUUGGUGGGGUAAAGGCCUACCAAGGCAACGAUCAGUAGCUGGUCUGAGAGGACGACCAGCCACACUGGGACUGAGACACGGCACAGACUCCUACGGGAGGAAGCAGUGGGGAAUUUUGGACAAUGGGCGAAAGCCUGAUCCAGCAAUGCCGCGUGUGUGAAGAAGGCCUUCGGGUUGUAAAGCACUUUUGUGCGGAAAGAAAACCUUGGCUCUAAUACAGUCGGGGGAUGACGGUACCGGAAGAAUAAGCACCGGCUAACUACGUG